UACGUAGGGCGCAAGCGUUGUCCGGAAUUAUUGGGCGUAAAGGGCUCGUAGGCGGUCUGUCGCGUCGGGAGUGAAAACUCAGGGCUUAACCCUGAGCCUGCUUCCGAUACGGGCAGACUAGAGGUAUGCAGGGGAGAACGGAAUUCCUGGUGUAGCGGUGGAAUGCGCAGAUAUCAGGAGGAACACCGGUGGCGAAGGCGGUUCUCUGGGCAUUACCUGACGCUGAGGAGCGAAAGUGUGGGGAGCGAACAGG
Molecule: ribosomal RNA, 253 nt
Filed under: uncultured bacterium
Lineage: Bacteria
Description: partial 16S ribosomal RNA
Rfam family: Bacterial small subunit ribosomal RNA
Source: RNAcentral